Non-coding RNA from Suricata suricatta (meerkat), 332 nucleotides. NCBI's taxonomy places the organism in Eukaryota, Metazoa, Chordata, Mammalia, Carnivora, Herpestidae. The record is from Ensembl.
UGGAAAUGAUGAAAUAGAGAUAAUUGGGUGUUGAAUGUUGUGUGAUUGGAAACCUUUUUUUUUAUGUGUAAGUUAAGUAAUUUAAGCUUAAUAUUUUAUAGAUAAUAAGAGAGUGUGUGUGCGUUUGUGUGUGUGUGCUUGUGGAGGCUAUUGAAAGGGGGCACUGACGGGUGAUGCUGAUAUUGGAGUGCAUCUGAGGCUGUUGUUAAAAUACAUGGGUUGUUGAUUACAACAUUGCCAAUGAUUAUAACCCAAGAACAGCUCACCUAAGUAGCCUAGCACCCUAAAAUCUCUAACAGGUUCAUUAAACAUGGCCCUGUGAUCUGAUCCAA